ACUGCUGCCUCCCGUAGGAGUAGGGGGAAUCUUCCACAAUGGACGAAAGUCUGAUGGAGCAACGCCGCGUGAGUGAAGAAGGGUUUCGGCUCGUAAAACUCUGUUGUUAAAGAAGAACAUAUCUAAGAGUAACUGUUCAGGUAUUGACGGUAUUUAACCAGAAAGCCACGGCUAACUACGUGCCAGCNGCCGCGGUAAUAC
This 201-nucleotide ribosomal RNA is filed under the name Lactobacillus sp. L33. RNAcentral describes it as "partial 16S ribosomal RNA". It matches the Rfam family "Bacterial small subunit ribosomal RNA", at positions 328 to 526 of the family's 1533-position model. The record is from RNAcentral. Lineage: Bacteria; Bacillati; Bacillota; Bacilli; Lactobacillales; Lactobacillaceae.